GGAGUUUUAGUUUAAUUAAAAUAACUAAGUUGCAAUUAGUAGAUGUGUAUACCCGCAAGCUCUA
RNAcentral lists this transfer RNA (64 nucleotides) under Plagiopholis styani. RNAcentral describes it as "tRNA-Ala". Lineage: Eukaryota; Metazoa; Chordata; Lepidosauria; Squamata; Colubridae. The record is from RNAcentral.